UCGGGAAUUUUGGGCAAUGGGCGAAAGCCUGACCCAGCAACGCCGCGUGAGUGAUGAAGGCCUUAGGGUUGUAAAGCUCUUUUACCAGGGAUGAUAAUGACAGUACCUGGAGAAUAAGCUCCGGCUAACUCCGUGCCAGCAGCCGCGGUAAUACGUAGGGUGCAGGCGUUAAUCGGAAUUACUGGGCGUAAAGCGCACGUAGGCGGUUUUUAAGUCAGAUGUGAAAGCCCCGGGCUCAACCUGGGAAUUGCAUUUGAAACUGGAAAACUAGAGUGUGUGAGAGGGGGGUAGAAUUCCAAGUGUAGCGGUGAAAUGCGUAGAUAUGUGGAGGAAUACCGAUGGCGAAGGCAGCCCCCUGGGAUAACACUGACGCUCAUGCACGAAAGCGUGGGGAGCAAACAGGAUUAGAUACCCUUGUAGUCCCUGAGCGGGCUGGCAAGGCGCAU
Molecule: ribosomal RNA, 446 nt
Filed under: uncultured bacterium
Lineage: Bacteria
Description: bacterial SSU rRNA
Rfam family: Bacterial small subunit ribosomal RNA
Source: RNAcentral